UGAGAGGUGAAGUGAUUCAAUACCUAUUUGCAGUGGACGCCCGUUGCAUAUAAAGAUUAAAAAUGAAGCUAUUACUAAUAGUCAUGGCAGCUUUUGGUGGAGUAUUAAGCAUCACAUACGAUUCGGAUGUCUUCGAUAAAUUGGAUAUUCAGCGCAUUGUCGAGAGCAAUGUUAAAAGAAGAGAGGCCUUUAACUGCCUCAUGGAUCGUGGACCGUGUGAAAAAUACCAACAUAUUAAAGAAAAAUGUCCUGAAAUGGUUAAAA
Molecule: long non-coding RNA, 264 nt
Organism: Manduca sexta (tobacco hornworm)
Lineage: Eukaryota; Metazoa; Arthropoda; Insecta; Lepidoptera; Sphingidae
Exons: 3
Source: RefSeq, a predicted model, not a curated record